UGCAGUGAUUUUGUGAUGACCAGAAGCAUCCAGUGCCGAGAAAUGAUUGAAGAUGUACAGAGGCAUAUGGCAGGACUGAGUUUUCAGGACCGCAAGAGCACAGGUUCUUACAACUACCCUGCAGUGAACCAGGCCCAUCAAACUCCAAGAUCAAGUCCACCCCCUGCAGUUGAUCCGCAAAACGUUCCCCAUCCUCGCCCCCAAAUGCCUUACUAUCAGCCUCCUGAGCAGCCAACAAUGCCGGGAUACGCUCAUCC
This 257-nucleotide unclassified non-coding RNA is filed under the name Hevea brasiliensis (rubber tree). Lineage: Eukaryota; Viridiplantae; Streptophyta; Magnoliopsida; Malpighiales; Euphorbiaceae. The record is from RNAcentral.